GACGAACGCUGGCGGCGUGCUUAAUACAUGCAAGUCGAGCGAGGCCUUGGAAUUGGAGUCCUUCGGGAUGAAGAGUCCUUGGCCUAGCGGCGGACGGGUGAGUAACGCGUGGGCAACCUACCCCAAAGUCCGGGAUAACAGUGGGAAACCGCUGCUAAUACCGGAUGGCUUUACCUGAGGGCAUCCUCGGGUAAAGAAAGGUUACGCUUUGGGAUGGGCCCGCGUCCCAUUAGCUAGUUGGUGAGGUAACGGCUCACCAAGGCGACGAUGGGUAGCCGGCCUGAGAGGGUGAACGGCCACACUGGGACUGAGACACGGCCCAGACUCCUACGGGAGGCAGCAGUAGGGAAUAUUGCGCAAUGGGCGGAAGCCUGACGCAGCGACGCCGCGUGAGCCAAGAAGGCCUUCGGGUCGUAAAGCUCUGUCCUUGGGGAAGAAGGCGUAAGCUUGACGGUACCCAAGAAGAAAGCCCCGGCUAACUACGUGCCAGCAGCCCGCGGUAAUACGUAGGGGGCGAGCGUUGUCCGGAAUUACUGGGCGUAAAGGGUGCGUAGGCGG
This 558-nucleotide ribosomal RNA is filed under the name uncultured bacterium. RNAcentral's name for it is "bacterial SSU rRNA". It matches the Rfam family "Bacterial small subunit ribosomal RNA", at positions 28 to 578 of the family's 1533-position model. The record is from RNAcentral.